This is a long non-coding RNA of Lactuca sativa (garden lettuce), 592 nucleotides long. RefSeq lists it as uncharacterized. Lineage: Eukaryota; Viridiplantae; Streptophyta; Magnoliopsida; Asterales; Asteraceae. The record is from RefSeq and is a predicted model, not a curated record.
UUAGGAGGGGACUCGGCGAGUUGGUGCACGACUCGCCGAGUAGGGCCAUGGUCUUGGUCGCAGACGCGCGACUGGACUCGACGAGUCCAAUAAGGGACUCGGCGAGUCGACGCUGUUCAGCUGAACCCUAGCCGUUUCGAUUCUGAACCGUAUAUAAUGAUAUUAUGGCCGUCAUGUCGGGUCUUUUGGCCGAUUGAAGAUCCCCUGGGAGUGUGUGAGCAUCUAAAGCAAGAGAGAGGACUUGAGAAGGCUUGAAGAGAUUGUUAGACAAGGAGGAGCAAGGUGGUGAUCAAAGGAAUCGAGUACUGGAGGUUUGGAGACACAGGAAACACGUUUCCAGGGAACCUGCGGACUAGCGGAUUGUGUGCAAGUAGCUCGAAGAGGUUAUAGCCUGCGUACUACGAGAGACAUCAUGGUUAUCACACGCAAUGGGGCGAGUUCGAGCGGUGCGAGUGACGAGGAGAUUCGUCAGAUUAUUCAGGAAGAGGUAGCUGCGGCGGUCCGGGCUGAGAUCCCGGAGAUGUUUGGGUCUAUUAAGACCACGUUGAUGGAGGAGUUUGAGGAGCGGUGCGCCGCAAUUUCUGAAGCUGCA